Molecule: ribosomal RNA, 337 nt
Filed under: uncultured bacterium
Lineage: Bacteria
Description: bacterial SSU rRNA
Rfam family: Bacterial small subunit ribosomal RNA
Source: RNAcentral
AGAGUUUGAUCAUGGCUCAGGAUGAACGCUGGCGGCGUGCCUAAUACAUGCAAGUCGAACGCUUCACAUUUGUGAAGAGUGGCGAACGGGUGAGUAAUACAUAAGUAACCUGGCAUCUACAGGGGGAUAACUGAUGGAAACGUCAGCUAAGACCGCAUAGGUGUAGAGAUCGCAUGAACUCUAUAUGAAAAGUGCUACGGGACUGGUAGAUGAUGGACUUAUGGCGCAUUAGCUAGUUGGUAGGGUAACGGCCUACCAAGGCGACGAUGCGUAGCCGACCUGAGAGGGUGACCGGCACACUGGGACUGAGACACGGCCCAGACUCCUACGGGAGGCA